GAUGAAGAACGCAGCGAAAUGCGAUAAGUAGUGUGAAUUGCAGAAUUCAGUGAAUCAUCGAAUCUUUGAACGCACAUUGCGCCCCUUGGUAUUCCAUGGGGCAUGCCUGUUCGAGCGUCAUUUGUACCCUCAAGCUUUGCUUGGUGUUGGGUGUUUGUCCCGCGUUGCGCGUGGACUCGCCUUAAAGCGAUUGGCAGCCGGCAUAUUGGCCUUGGAGCGCAGCACAUUUUGCGCUUCUAGUCAUGAAUGUUGGCGUCCAUUAAGCCUAUACAUUUGCUCUUGACCUCGGAUCAGGUAGGGAUACCCGCUGAACUUAAGCAUAUCAAUAAGCAGAGGA
RNAcentral lists this unclassified non-coding RNA (337 nucleotides) under soil metagenome. RNAcentral's name for it is "partial contains 5.8S ribosomal RNA, internal transcribed spacer 2, and large subunit ribosomal RNA". The stretch from base 1 to 120 matches the Rfam family "5.8S ribosomal RNA", at positions 35 to 154 of the family's 154-position model. The record is from RNAcentral.